CUCCAGACUCCUGACAGUAAGCCUGCUCAGUCCGCCUUAAAGACAGAACUUCUUGGCAGCUGGGUGUGGAGGGGGAUGUGUUACACCAGGUGUCUUCUGAAUCCUCCAGAAAAUGCAGACUCACCAUGCGGAGUCUGAUUAUAAGCUCCAUGAACAUAGAGAUGCUUCCCAUCUUAAACCCUGCUAAAACUCCAGCGAUUGGCAGCCCUCCUGGCAUGCAUGGGGUAUUCAGUAAUUACUUGUUGAACGAAUGAAAGAAAGUCCCAUCUGUUUUAAGAUACUUCUUGAACACCUACUAUGGCAGUCAUUCUACUGCAUGUCAAGGUCCUCAGGGGGAUCCACCUGCAUAGUUUAAGAGCACAGGUAGAGAAGACUAAGGCACAGCCCCUACCCUGAAUGAAUCCACAGCAUUGCACUUCAGACAAAAUCAAUCACCAGAAGAUAUGGUAAAUUUGCCAGCUCCUGAGAAAAAUCCCUAUAACUGUGUUCUGUCCCCGUUGGG
This is a long non-coding RNA of Zalophus californianus (California sea lion), 502 nucleotides long. RefSeq lists it as uncharacterized. The transcript is spliced from 3 exons. The record is from RefSeq and is a predicted model, not a curated record. Lineage: Eukaryota; Metazoa; Chordata; Mammalia; Carnivora; Otariidae.